UUAGAGAGUGACCCUGGCUCAGGAUGAACGCUAGCGAUAGGCUUAACACAUGCAAGUCGAGGGGCAGCACUGGCAGCAAUGCUUGGUGGCGACCGGCGCACGGGUGCGUAACACGUAUGCAACCUGCCUGUAAGUGUGGGAUAGCCUCCUGAAAGGGAGAUUAAUACUGCAUAACAUGUUUUUACUGCAUGGUAUUUACAUCAAACAUUUAUGGCUUACGGAUGGGCAUGCGUUCCAUUAGGCAGUUGGUGUGGUAAUGGCUCACCAAACCUACGAUGGAUAGGGGUUCUGAGAGGAAGGUCCCCCACACUGGAACUGAGACACGGUCCAGACUCCUACGGGAGGCAGCAGUGAGGAAUAUUGGUCAAUGGUCGCAAGACUGAACCAGCCAAGUCGCGUGAAGGACGACGGCCCUAUGGGUUGUAAACUUCUUUUACAGGGGAAUAAAGUGCGCCACGUGUGGUGUUUUGUAUGUACUUUGUGAAUAAGGAUCGGCUAACUCCGUGCCAGCAGCCGCAGUAAUACGGAGGAUCCGAGCGUUAUCCGGAUUUAUUGGGUUUAAAGGGUGCGUAGGCGGCAUGAUAAUUCAGCGGUGAAAGUUUUCGGCUCAACCGGAAAAUUGCCGUUGAAACUGUUGUUCUUGAGAGCAAAAGAAGUAAGGCGAAAUUCGUUGUGUAGCGGUGAAAUGCGUAGAUAUAACAAAUAACUCCGAUUGCGUAGGCAGCUUACCAUGUUGCAGCUGACGCUGAGGCACGAAAGUGUGGGUAUCAAACAGGAUUAGAUACCCUGGUAGUCCACACAGUAAACGAUGAAUACUAGCUGUUUGCGAUACACUGCAAGCGGCUGAGCGAAAGCAUUAAGUAUUCCACCUGGGGAGUACGUUCGCAAGAAUGAAACUCAAAGGAAUUGACGGGACCCUGCACAAGCGGUGGAUCAUGUUGUUUAAUUCGAGGAUACGCGAAGAACCUUACCAGGCCUUGACAUCCUCUGCGAAGCUAUGGAGACAUAGUGGAGGUUAACAGAGAGACAGGUGGUGCAUGGUUGUCGUCAGCUCGUGUCGUGAGAUGUUCGGUUAAGUCCGGUAACGAGCGCAACCCUUAUUGCUAGUUGCCAUCAUUAAGUUGGGGACUCUAGCGAGACUGCCAGUGACAAACUGGAGGAAGGCGGGGAGGACGUCAAAUCAUCAUGCCCCCUAUGGCCUGGGCUACAAACGUGAUACAAUGGCUGGAACAAAGAGAAGCGAAAGGGCGACCCUUAGCGGACCUCAUAAAAACAGUCUCAGUUCGGAUUGGAGUCUGCAACUCGACUCCACGAAGUCGGAAUCGCUAGUAAUCGUAGGUCAGCAUACUACGGUGAAUAAGUUCUCGGGGUUUGUACUCACCGCCCGUCA
Molecule: ribosomal RNA, 1390 nt
Filed under: uncultured bacterium
Lineage: Bacteria
Description: bacterial SSU rRNA
Rfam family: Bacterial small subunit ribosomal RNA
Source: RNAcentral